GGAUCAAUAUGCUGGUCGUGCCUUUGGUACGUACUGGUAUUAUUGGUUUCUCCUUUCUGAUGAAUCAUGAUGUCAUUAAUUUGGUGUCAUGGGGAAUCAGGACUGUUACUUUGAAAAAAUUAGAGUGUUUAAAGCAGGCUUACGCUUGAAUACAUUAGCAUGGAAUAAUGAAAUAGGACGUUUAAUUCUAUUUUGUUGGUUUCUAGGAUUGACGUA
Molecule: ribosomal RNA, 216 nt
Filed under: uncultured Glomeromycotina
Lineage: Eukaryota; Fungi; Glomeromycota
Description: partial small subunit ribosomal RNA
Rfam family: Eukaryotic small subunit ribosomal RNA (bases 47-216)
Source: RNAcentral